Vicugna pacos (alpaca) is the source of this 313-nucleotide unclassified non-coding RNA. Its record names the gene 7SK. It matches the Rfam family "7SK RNA". Rfam says of the family: 7SK was discovered as an abundant small nuclear RNA in the mid-70s but a possible function has only recently been suggested. Lineage: Eukaryota; Metazoa; Chordata; Mammalia; Artiodactyla; Camelidae. The record is from Ensembl.
GAACGUGAGGGUGACUUGGCAGUGACAUCUGUCAACCCAUUGAUCACCAGGGCUGAUCUGGCUGGCUAGGCUAGUGUUCUGUUCCUCUCUAACCGCUCUGUGUGCAUCCCUCCCCAAACUGUGUGCUCGGUGGAGAAGAGAGGAGGAUCAUUCGUCCAUCAAGGGUAUACAAGUAUACAAGUAGCUGAGCCCCCUGUUAGAUGCUCCAAACAAGCUCUCAAGGUUCAUUUAUAGGGGAACAUUGGGCGAUCAAACUUCUGAGACUCCAGACACAUUCAAAUGAGGCGCUGCCUAUGGCAAUCUGCCUUUCUUU